UGAUAGCUGUGAAGCGUGAGGUUGCUGGGUGUCAGCAAUGGCAGUCAGGUUUUCCGUGGAGCGAAUGUCAAGUUAGAAAACUGACGACAA
This 90-nucleotide non-coding RNA is filed under the name uncultured Acetatifactor sp. RNAcentral describes it as "S10-Clostridia ribosomal protein leader". It matches the Rfam family "S10-Clostridia ribosomal protein leader". Lineage: Bacteria; Bacillati; Bacillota; Clostridia; Lachnospirales; Lachnospiraceae. The record is from RNAcentral.